This 422-nucleotide long non-coding RNA is filed under the name Homo sapiens (human). RNAcentral's name for it is "HSALNT0373553". The record is from RNAcentral. Lineage: Eukaryota; Metazoa; Chordata; Mammalia; Primates; Hominidae.
GGGAGCCCAGGCAGGGGAGGCGCCGAGAGCCAGUGAGGACUGCCAGCACCGCUGUCACCUCUCAGAAAUGCUGGGAAGAAUAUGAGAGAUCCGGAAGGGAACAGAAGACAAGGAAUGUGGGCACCCUCUAGAAGUUGCAGAAGCCAGAGAAACAGACUCUCCCCUGGAAUGUUCAGAAAGUGUACAAUCCUGCCAAGACCUCGGUCAUAGCUCAGUGAAACCCAUUUUGAAAUUCGGACCACCAGAACUUUUUGCCUUGUGCUUGAGACACACCCAGACCUUUAGCCUCCAGCCUGCAGAAAUUGGUAGAUUUCUUCUGUGAAAAGCCAGGAGCAAAUUUUCAGCUCAAUUCUGCAAGUUUCAAUCUGCACUGGAAUUUUAAUCCAUCAUCUUCUAUUUUUAUAUAACUUUCUUAUGUCUUC